This 1369-nucleotide ribosomal RNA is filed under the name uncultured bacterium. RNAcentral describes it as "bacterial SSU rRNA". It matches the Rfam family "Bacterial small subunit ribosomal RNA", at positions 28 to 1381 of the family's 1533-position model. The record is from RNAcentral.
GACGAACGCUGGCGGCGUGCCUAAUACAUGCAAGUAGAACGCUGAAGAGAGGAGCUUGCUCUUCUUGGAUGAGUUGCGAACGGGUGAGUAACGCGUAGGUAACCUGCCUGGUAGCGGGGGAUAACUAUUGGAAACGAUAGCUAAUACCGCAUAAAAUUGAUUAUUGCAUGAUAAUUAAUUGAAAGAUGCAAUUGCAUCACUACCAGAUGGACCUGCGUUGUAUUAGCUAGUUGGUGAGGUAACGGCUCACCAAGGCGACGAUACAUAGCCGACCUGAGAGGGUGAUCGGCCACACUGGGACUGAGACACGGCCCAGGCUCCUACGGGAGGCAGCAGUAGGGAAUCUUCGGCAAUGGGGGGAACCCUGACCGAGCAACGCCGCGUGAGUGAAGAAGGUUUUCGGAUCGUAAAGCUCUGUUGUAAGAGAAGAACGGGUGUGAGAGUGGAAAGUUCACACUGUGACGGUAUCUUACCAGAAAGGGACGGCUAACUACGUGCCAGCAGCCGCGGUAAUACGUAGGUCCCGAGCGUUGUCCGGAUUUAUUGGGCGUAAAGCGAGCGCAGGCGGUUAGAUAAGUCUGAAGUUAAAGGCUGUGGCUUAACCAUAGUAUGCUUUGGAAACUGUUUAACUUGAGUGCAGAAGGGGAGAGUGGAAUUCCAUGUGUAGCGGUGAAAUGCGUAGAUAUAUGGAGGAACACCGGUGGCGAAAGCGGCUCUCUGGUCUGUAACUGACGCUGAGGCUCGAAAGCGUGGGGAGCAAACAGGAUUAGAUACCCUGGUAGUCCACGCCGUAAACGAUGAGUGCUAGGUGUUAGGCCCUUUCCGGGGCUUAGUGCCGCAGCUAACGCAUUAAGCACUCCGCCUGGGGAGUACGACCGCAAGGUUGAAACUCAAAGGAAUUGACGGGGGCCCGCACAAGCGGUGGAGCAUGUGGUUUAAUUCGAAGCAACGCGAAGAACCUUACCAGGUCUUGACAUCCCUCUGACCGCUCUAGAGAUAGAGUUUUCCUUCGGGACAGAGGUGACAGGUGGUGCAUGGUUGUCGUCAGCUCGUGUCGUGAGAUGUUAGGUUAAGUCCCGCAACGAGCGCAACCCCUAUUGUUAGUUGCCAUCAUUCAGUUGGGCACUCUAGCGAGACUGCCGGUAAUAAACCGGAGGAAGGUGGGGAUGACGUCAAAUCAUCAUGCCCCUUAUGACCUGGGCUACACACGUGCUAUAAUGGCUGGUACAACGAGUCGCAAGCCGGUGACGGCAAGCUAAUCUCUGAAAGCCAGUCUCAGUUCGGAUUGUAGGCUGCAACUCGCCUACAUGAAGUCGGAAUCGCUAGUAAUCGCGGAUCAGCACGCCGCGGUGAAUACGUUCCCGGGCCU